Molecule: ribosomal RNA, 460 nt
Filed under: uncultured bacterium
Lineage: Bacteria
Description: partial 16S ribosomal RNA
Rfam family: Bacterial small subunit ribosomal RNA
Source: RNAcentral
CCUACGGGUGGCUGCAGUGAGGAAUAUUGGUCAAUGGGCGCGAGCCUGAACCAGCCAAGUCGCGUGAGGGAUGACGGUCCUACGGAUUGUAAACCUCUUUUGCCGGGGAGCAAGCGUGCGUUCGUGAACGCGCGUCGAGAGUACCCGGAGAAAAAGCAUCGGCUAACUCCGUGCCAGCAGCCGCGGUAAUACGGAGGAUGCGAGCGUUAUCCGGAUUUAUUGGGUUUAAAGGGUGCGUAGGCGGGAUGCCAAGUCAGCGGUAAAAAUGCGGUGCUCAACGCCGGCGAGCCGUUGAAACUGGCAAACUGGAGUGUGUGAGAGGAUAGUGGAAUUCCAGGUGUAGGAGUGAAAUCCGUAGAUAUCUGGAGGAACAUCAGUGGCGAAGGCGACUAUCUGGCACAUAACUGACGCUGAGGAGCGAAAGCGUGGGUAGCAAACAGGAUUAGAUACCCCAGUAGUC